GACGAACGCUGGCGGCGUGCUUAACACAUGCAAGUCGAACGGAAAGGCCCCGCUUUUGUGGGGUGCUCGAGUGGCGAACGGGUGAGUAACACGUGAGUAACCUGCCCUUGACUUUGGGAUAACUUCAGGAAACUGGGGCUAAUACCGGAUAGGAGCUCCUGCUGCAUGGUGGGGGUUGGAAAGUUUCGGCGGUUGGGGAUGGACUCGCGGCUUAUCAGCUUGUUGGUGGGGUAGUGGCUUACCAAGGCUUUGACGGGUAGCCGGCCUGAGAGGGUGACCGGCCACAUUGGGACUGAGAUACGGCGCAGACUCCUACGGGAGGCAGCAGUGGGGAAUAUUGCACAAUGGGCGGAAGCCUGAUGCAGCAACGCCGCGUGCGGGAUGACGGCCUUCGGGUUGUAAACCGCUUUCGCCUGUGACGAAGCGUGAGUGACGGUAAUGGGUAAAGAAGCACCGGCUAACUACGUG
RNAcentral lists this ribosomal RNA (468 nucleotides) under uncultured bacterium. RNAcentral's name for it is "partial 16S ribosomal RNA". It matches the Rfam family "Bacterial small subunit ribosomal RNA", at positions 28 to 507 of the family's 1533-position model. The record is from RNAcentral.